This 248-nucleotide ribosomal RNA is filed under the name uncultured bacterium. RNAcentral describes it as "partial 16S ribosomal RNA". It matches the Rfam family "Bacterial small subunit ribosomal RNA", at positions 333 to 598 of the family's 1533-position model. The record is from RNAcentral.
UCUUUCCUACGGGGCGCAGCAGUAGGGAAUAUUGCUCAAUGGGGGAAACCCUGAAGCAGCAACGCCGCGUGGAGGAUGAAGGUUUUCGGAUUGUAAACUCCUUUUGUUAGAGAAGACAAUGACGGUAUCUAACGAAUAAGCAACGGCUAAAACAGUGCCAGCAGCCGCGGUAAUACGGAGGGGGGAAGCGUUACUCGGAAUCACUGGGCGUAAAGAGCGCGUAGGCGGGAUAGCAAGUCAGAGGGGAA